This 318-nucleotide ribosomal RNA is filed under the name uncultured eukaryote. Its description in RNAcentral is "partial 18S ribosomal RNA". It matches the Rfam family "Eukaryotic small subunit ribosomal RNA", at positions 1470 to 1796 of the family's 1831-position model. The record is from RNAcentral.
CCCUUAGAUGUUCUGGGCUGCACGCGUGCUACACUGAUUAUUUCAACAAGUGUUUUAACUGGAGAGUUCGCGUAAUCCUGAAAUGUUAUCGUGAUGGGAGUAGAGUAUUGUAUUUGUUAAUCUUUAACGAGGAAUUCCUAGCAAGUGUAGGUUUAUAAGUUGUUCUGAUUACGUCCCUGCCCUUUGUACACACCGCCCGUCGCUCCUACCGAUUGAAUGCUCAGGUGAGCCAUUCGGACUUUCAUCAUGCUGGUUUCCAGUUUUGAUGAAGGAAAGUCUUGCGAACCUUAUCAUUUAGAGGAAGGAGAAGUCGUAACA